Eutrema salsugineum is the source of this 73-nucleotide transfer RNA. It matches the Rfam family "tRNA". Rfam says of the family: Transfer RNA (tRNA) molecules are approximately 80 nucleotides in length. Their secondary structure includes four short double-helical elements and three loops (D, anti-codon, and T loops). The record is from Rfam. NCBI's taxonomy places the organism in Eukaryota, Viridiplantae, Streptophyta, Magnoliopsida, Brassicales, Brassicaceae.
GCCCCCAUCGUUUAGUGGUUCAGGACAUCACUCUUUCAAGGAGGCAUCGGAGAUUUGACUUCCCCUAGGGGUA